AUUGGAUGAGCCCGCGGCCUAUUAGCUUGUUGGUGGGGUAACGGCUCACCGAGGCUACGAUGGGUAGCCGGCCUGAGAGGGUGUACGGUCACACUGGCACUGAGACACGGGCCAGACUCCUACGGGAGGCAGCAGUGGGGAAUUUUGCGCAAUGGGGGAAACCCUGACGCAGCAACGCCGCGUGAGUGAUGAAGGCCUUCGGGUCGUAAAGCUCUUUUAGUGGGGAAGAAACUCCCCGGAACGAAUAAUUCCGGGGCUUGACGGUACCCACAGAAAAAGUUCCGGCUAACUACGUGCCAGCAGCCGCGGCCGAAU
Molecule: ribosomal RNA, 315 nt
Filed under: uncultured actinomycete
Lineage: Bacteria; Bacillati; Actinomycetota; Actinomycetes; Actinomycetales
Description: bacterial SSU rRNA
Rfam family: Bacterial small subunit ribosomal RNA
Source: RNAcentral